This 402-nucleotide ribosomal RNA is filed under the name uncultured bacterium. Its description in RNAcentral is "bacterial SSU rRNA". It matches the Rfam family "Bacterial small subunit ribosomal RNA", at positions 355 to 774 of the family's 1533-position model. The record is from RNAcentral.
UCGGGAAUUUUGGGCAAUGGGCGAAAGCCUGACCCAGCAACGCCGCGUGAGGGAUGAAGUAUUUCGGUAUGUAAACCUCGAAAGAAUGGGAAGAAUAAAUGACGAUACCAUUUAUAAGCUCCGGCUAACUACGUGCCAGCAGCCGCGGUAAUACGUAGGGAGCAAGCGUUGUUCGGAUUUACUGGGCGUAAAGGGCGCGUAGGCGGCGCGGUAAGUCACUUGUGAAAUCUCUGAGCUUAACUCAGAACGGCCAAGUGAUACUGCUGUGCUAGAGUGCGGAAGAGGCAACCGGAAUUCUUGGUGUAGCGGUGAAAUGCGUAGAUAUCAAGAGGAACACCUGAGGCGAAGGCGGGUUGCUGAGCCGACACUGACGCUGAUGCGCGAAAGCCAGGGGAGCAAACG